UGUUGUGAACUCGAAGAGUAGGGCGGGACACGUGGUAUCCUGUCUGAAUAUGGGGGGACCAUCCUCCAAGGCUAAAUACUCCUGACUGACCGAUAGUGAACCAGUACCGUGAGGGAAAGGCGAAAAGAACCCCGGCGAGGGGAGUGAAAAAGAACCUGAAACCGUGUACGUACAAGCAGUGGGAGCACCUUCGGGUGUGACUGCGUACCUUUUGUAUAAUGGGUCAGCGACUUAUAUUCUGUAGCAAGGUUAACCGUAUAGGGGAGCCGAAGGGAAACCGAGUCUUAACUGGGCGUUAAGUUGCAGGGUAUAGACCCGAAACCCGGUGAUCUAGCCAUGGGCAGGUUGAAGGUUGGGUAACACUAACUGGAGGACCGAACCGACUAAUGUUGAAAAAUUAGCGGAUGACUUGUGGCUGGGGGUGAAAGGCCAAUCAAACCGGGAGAUAGCUGGUUCUCCCCGAAAGCUAUUUAGGUAGCGCCUCGUGAACUCAUCUUCGGGGGUAGAGCACUGUUUCGGCUAGGGGGUCAUCCCGACUUACCAACCCGAUGCAAACUGCGAAUACCGAAGAAUGUUAUCACGGGAGACACACGGCGGG
RNAcentral lists this ribosomal RNA (598 nucleotides) under Citrobacter sp. wls714. RNAcentral's name for it is "partial 23S ribosomal RNA". It matches the Rfam family "Bacterial large subunit ribosomal RNA", at positions 395 to 995 of the family's 2925-position model. Lineage: Bacteria; Pseudomonadati; Pseudomonadota; Gammaproteobacteria; Enterobacterales; Enterobacteriaceae. The record is from RNAcentral.